RNAcentral lists this ribosomal RNA (175 nucleotides) under uncultured eukaryote. RNAcentral describes it as "partial small subunit ribosomal RNA". It matches the Rfam family "Eukaryotic small subunit ribosomal RNA", at positions 1294 to 1461 of the family's 1831-position model. The record is from RNAcentral.
UUAGUUCGUGGAACUGAUCUGUCUGCUUAAUUGCGUUAACGAACGAGACCUUUCCUUGCUAAUUCGUUGGUCCAUUGCUUCGGCAAUGUGGCUAUUAAUCUGUUGCUUCGGCUCAGAUUACUUCUUAGAAGGACUUUUUAUAUCCAGUAAACGGAAGUUGAAGGCAAUAACAGGU